CGAUUUUGUAACUUAAGCUUUAGAGACCUGUUUAGAGUAAAAACUUUCCUCAAUAAGGAUAAAGAUAAGUCUAAAGUAGAAGUAUAAGAAGAAAAUGAGAAAAUAGCUAAUUUGAAUAAUGUCGAAUAUUUGAAGGACCGUUUUGUAAUUAGUUCUGUUAAACUUGAAAUGACUUUUUAAAGAGUGUGUUUUUUGAAUAAUGCGUUAAUAUUUGAAUAGUAGGUAUUUCAGAAGGUUAAUGAAAUUCAAUUUACAAAAUAGCUUAAACGGAGGUUGGGCACAGCAGGAGUUAUCCUGCUCGACUGGGGUAGUGCCUCAACCUUACAAAAGAUCACAGCUG
RNAcentral lists this unclassified non-coding RNA (340 nucleotides) under Melitaea cinxia (Glanville fritillary). RNAcentral describes it as "misc RNA ENSMCXG00005007443.1". The record is from RNAcentral. Lineage: Eukaryota; Metazoa; Arthropoda; Insecta; Lepidoptera; Nymphalidae.